AAAGCCUUGGUUCCUGGAAGAUGGGCAAAGCUUGCGACUCGUCACUUGCUCCCUGUUCACCGCACGUUUUAGCAUGGUGGUCUGGGCUCCACGCCCACGUGCAGGCCUUCUGAUGGACACCGCUGAGGCUACCGUUGCCUUGGCCCUGCUCUGCUCUUGAUCUGCCCCCUUCACGUGCUGCUCAUAUGGGAGCAUAAGCCUGGGAAAGGUGGCAGCGCUGGUGCUGCCUGGGCUACCACCCAGCUCAUUAUACACCGUCUUCCACAAUCGCUGCGACGUCACCUUUAGACAAGACACAGGUCAAGUGAGCCGUCCAUAGCAGCAUCAAUUACCUCAUUUAUAUCAGUUUCUAAUAUAGUGACCCUGCCCAGUCUUAAAAAAUAAAACAGAAAUAUCUGA
This is a non-coding RNA of Electrophorus electricus (electric eel), 399 nucleotides long. The record is from RefSeq and is a predicted model, not a curated record. Lineage: Eukaryota; Metazoa; Chordata; Actinopteri; Gymnotiformes; Gymnotidae.